AGACUCAGUCCCAUGCCCAGACCCAGUCUGGUUUCCAAGUGGGCCCAAUCUGACCCUGGACCCAGUCUGGUUUCUAAGUUGGAACCAGUCCAACUCAGGCCAGUUUCUGGACCCAGUCUGGAAAAAGAAAUGCUCAAGUCAAGUCUAGAAGCUCAUAACACAAAAGCUGCGGGGCUGGGAUCCAGGACCUGAGAGGGACUUGCCCACCACCUCCAGAGGCAGCAAAACAGCAGUGAGCUCAAAGGGCUCAACAGUGGGUGAUGGACCUGCAAUGAUCCCUUCUCUUAGCUAUAGCAAGUAUGUGGGCCACCAGCACAGCAUGGCUGCUAACAGAACAGCGUAGGUCUGCACCUGGGAACCGAACCCAGGCCGCCAGAGCAGACUGUGCUGAACUUUACGUAAAGG
This 405-nucleotide long non-coding RNA is filed under the name Equus asinus (donkey). Its description in RNAcentral is "lncRNA (ENSEASG00005023599.1)". Lineage: Eukaryota; Metazoa; Chordata; Mammalia; Perissodactyla; Equidae. The record is from RNAcentral.